UCGGGAAUUUUGGGCAAUGGGCGAAAGCCUGACCCAGCAACGCCGCGUGAGGGAUGAAGUAUUUCGGUAUGUAAACCUUGAAAGAAUGGGAAGAAUAAAUGACGGUACCAUUUAUAAGCUCCGGCUAACUACGUGCCAGCAGCCGCGGUAAUACGUAGGGAGCAAGCGUUGUUCGGAUUUACUGGGCGUAAAGGGCGCGUAGGCGGCGCGGUAAGUCACUUGUGAAAUCUCUGAGCUUAACUCAGAACGGCCAAGUGAUACUGCUGUGCUAGAGUGCGGAAGAGGCAACCGGAAUUCUUGGUGUAGCGGUGAAAUGCGUAGAUAUCAAGAGGAACACCUGAGGCGAAGGCGGGUUGCUGGGCCGACACUGACGCUGAUGCGCGAAAGCCAGGGGAGCAAACG
RNAcentral lists this ribosomal RNA (402 nucleotides) under uncultured bacterium. RNAcentral's name for it is "bacterial SSU rRNA". It matches the Rfam family "Bacterial small subunit ribosomal RNA", at positions 355 to 774 of the family's 1533-position model. The record is from RNAcentral.